Molecule: ribosomal RNA, 468 nt
Filed under: uncultured bacterium
Lineage: Bacteria
Description: partial 16S ribosomal RNA
Rfam family: Bacterial small subunit ribosomal RNA
Source: RNAcentral
GACGAACGCUGGCGGCGUGCUUAACACAUGCAAGUCGAACGGAAAGGCCCUGCUUUUGUGGGGUGCUCGAGUGGCGAACGGGUGAGUAACACGUGAGUAACCUGCCCUUGACUUUGGGAUAACUUCAGGAAACUGGGGCUAAUACCGGAUAGGAGCUCCUGCUGCAUGGUGGGGGUUGGAAAGUUUCGGCGGUUGGGGAUGUGCUCGCGGCUUAUCAGCUUGUUGGUGGGGUAGUGGCUUACCAAGGCUUUGACGGGUAGCCGGCCUGAGAGGGUGACCGGCCACAUUGGGACUGAGAUACGGCCCAGACUCCUACGGGAGGCAGCAGUGGGGAAUAUUGCACAAUGGGCGGAAGCCUGAUGCAGCAACGCCGCGUGCGGGAUGACGGCCUUCGGGUUGUAACCCGCUUUCGCCUGUGACGAAGCGUGAGUGACGGUAAUGGGUAAAGAAGCACCGGCUAACUACGUG